GAUGAAGAACGCAGCGAAAUGCGAUAAGUAUUGUGAAUUGCAGAAUCCAGUGAAUCAUCGAAUCUUUGAAUGCACAUUGCGCCCGCCAGUAUUCUGGCGGGCAUGCCUGUCCGAGCGUCAUUUCAACCAUCAAGCCCCGGGCUUGUGUUGGGGACCUGCGUCCGACGCAGGCCCUGAAAACCAGUGGCGGGCUCGCUGUCCACACCGAGCGUAGUAACUAACCUCGCUAUGGAGUGGCGCGGGCGCCUGCCGUAAAACCCCCAAUUUCACAAGGUUGACCUCGGAUCAGGUAGGAAUACCCGCUGAACUUAAGCAUAUCAAUAAGCGGAGGA
RNAcentral lists this unclassified non-coding RNA (332 nucleotides) under soil metagenome. Its description in RNAcentral is "partial contains 5.8S ribosomal RNA, internal transcribed spacer 2, and large subunit ribosomal RNA". The stretch from base 1 to 120 matches the Rfam family "5.8S ribosomal RNA", at positions 35 to 154 of the family's 154-position model. The record is from RNAcentral.